CACACCUAAUAACUUUCCACGUGAACCGUCWACCCAACCAGUUUAGCGUCAUCUUGUGUGCGUCUUUUCUCGAUUGCUUUUUAAUUAAAUUGCGAGAGAGGGGAAACAAGCGCAAUUUAGACAGAACGAAGGUCGAGCUGUUUUUCUAUUCGUAGUGAGACGGCUUGGCUGAUUUAUCCUUUUCAAACCCAUUACCUAAAUACUGAUUAUACUGUGAGGACGAAAGUCCUUGCUUUUACUAGAUAGCAACUUUCAGCAGUGGAUGUCUAGGCUCGCACAUCGAUGAAGAACGCUGCGAACUGCGAUACGUAAUGCGAAUUGCAGGAUUCAGUGAGUCAUCGAAAUUUUGAACGCAUAUUGCACUUUCGGGUUAUGCCUGGAAGUAUGUCUGUAUCAGUGUCCGUAUCACAACCUUGCCUCUCUUUGUUUUGUGUGUGUUGCUCUUUAUUGGGCGGCGUGUGCGGAAUGUCGAGAUGGCAGACUUGAAGUGUCUCGCUUGUUGGGUGUUUCAUUUUAUUCUUCGGAGUAAAUAAAUGCUACGACUGGGCGAGUCCUUUUAAACGGACACGACUGUUCUGCUGUUUUCUGCAAAAGUGUGUCGCUCGAAAAGCGGUGGUUCCAUUGGGAUCGCUCGCAGUCGGCCGGGGACUUUGGCAGAUGCGUGUGGGAGAGAGAUAGACAGACUCGACUCGCGGUACGUUAGGGUGAGUGCUUUAUUCGUAAGGCGUUCGUUCGAACAAUGUUGCGUAUUGGGUUUGUGUGUUUUUUUCUCGCGUGAAGCGCGUUUGCUUUGAGGUGUACCGACCAUAGUGCUGUGAGCUUGAACCUGGUGUGUGACUUACUGCUAAAGUAGAGUGGUGCUAUUUCUUUUGCGGGAGUGCUCGGUUUGUUUCCGCCAAGUGCGGAGGCGAGUUGUGUAAAGCGUUCGGUCGGCAUAUUUGGGAAGUCAAUGUGCACGUGUAUCGUUGCAGUAAUUCUUGCUCGACUCUUUGAUUUCAUAAUUGAAAAGUGUGUGUGAGUUUGCAGUGUUGCGUGCAUAUCUCAAUUGGACCUGAUAUCAGACAAGACUACCCGCU
RNAcentral lists this ribosomal RNA (1076 nucleotides) under Globisporangium uncinulatum. Its description in RNAcentral is "eukaryotic LSU rRNA". The stretch from base 248 to 402 matches the Rfam family "5.8S ribosomal RNA". Lineage: Eukaryota; Oomycota; Peronosporomycetes; Pythiales; Pythiaceae. The record is from RNAcentral.